UUUAUUUUAGGUAUUAGCACAUUAAUAGCAAACAACGUUUAUGAUGCUGCAUACCCACUUCAUGAUGGUGAAUAUGAAUACCAAAAUGAUGACAUGAAUGAAAGAAAGUUGCUGUAUCGAGAAUGGGCAAGAUAUGGAGUAUUUUACAAGUUUCAGCCAAUUGACCUCAUAAGGUAAUAUGGACUUGUCGGGACAACAGGAACCCUGUUUUUAUCUGAUACAGAUUAAUAGAGUUCCUGUAGUUACUUCAGCAUAUAAUAUCUUGGAUUGACUGAUACAUAAGUAAAAUUUCUGCCUGCUUUUCUGUAGUUCUGAUGAUACCUUUCUUUCUGUAUAUCAUGUUAUCCUAAAGUAAUAUAAUAUUUCCGAUUACUUUCAUGAAUUUUUAUUGGAUUGUGAUCAAAGUUGUCAAU
Meleagris gallopavo (turkey) is the source of this 413-nucleotide non-coding RNA. The record is from RefSeq and is a predicted model, not a curated record. NCBI's taxonomy places the organism in Eukaryota, Metazoa, Chordata, Aves, Galliformes, Phasianidae.